GACGAACGCUGGCGGCGUGCUUAACACAUGCAAGUCGAACGGAAAGGCCCUGCUUUUGGGGGGUUCUCGAGUGGCGAACGGGUGUGUAACACGUGAGUAACCUGCCCUUGACUGUGGGAUAACUUCAGGAAACUGGGGCUAAUACCGGAUAGGAGCUCUUUCGUCAUGGGGGUGGUUGGUAAGUUUCGGCGGUUGGGGAUGGACGGGCGGCUUAUCAGCUGGUUGGGGGGGUAGUGGCUUACAAGGGCUCUGGCGGUUAGCCGGCCUGCGUGGGUGACCGGCCACAUUGGGACUGAGGUACGGCCCAGAGUCCUACGGGGGCCAGAAGUGGGAAAUAUUGCACAAUGGGCCGAAGCCUGAUCAAGCACCGCCGCGUGCGGGAUAACGGCCUUCGGGGUGUAACCCGCUUUCGCCUGUGACGAAGCGUGAGUGACGGUAAUGGGUAAAGAAGCACCGGCUAACUACGUG
RNAcentral lists this ribosomal RNA (468 nucleotides) under uncultured bacterium. RNAcentral describes it as "partial 16S ribosomal RNA". It matches the Rfam family "Bacterial small subunit ribosomal RNA", at positions 28 to 507 of the family's 1533-position model. The record is from RNAcentral.